AUAAAGUUUAAUUUUGGCUUAAAAAUUUAUUUAAUUUUUUUUUUACAUGUAAAUUUUUGUAUGAAUUUUAAUUAAAUUUUAAAAAUUUAGUUUAAAUAAUAUAUUCGCAGUAUUUAAUUUUAAUAAUUUAAGAAAUUAAGAAUUAGAAGUAAAUUUUAAUAUUAACAAAUUUUGUGCCAGCAGUUGCGGUUAUACAAAAAAUGUAAAUAAAUUUUAUUAGUAAAUAAUUAUAUUAUUAUUUAAUAAUAAAUUAAAAUUAUAUUUAUUAGGUGAAAUUUUAAAUAUAAAGAUAAUUUAUAAGAAAGUUUUUAUUAUUAUGAAAUUUAUAUUUAAACUAGGAUUAGAUACCCUAUUAUUUUAAAUGUAAAAUAAUUACUUAAUUAGUAUUAGUUAUGUUCUUGAAAUUUAAAGAUUUUGGCGGUAUUUUAGUCUAUUUAGAGGAACCUGUUCUAUAAUUGAUAAUCCACGAUUAACUUUACUUAUUUUAUAAAUUUGUAUACCGUUGUUAUUAGAAAAUUUUAAUAGAAAAUAAAUUUUUAAUAUUUUAAAUUAAAAAAUAUAUCAGAUCAAGGUGCAGUAUAUAUUUAAGAAGAAAUGGGUUACAAUAAAUAUAUUUAUACGAAUAAAAAAAUUGAAUAAUUUUUUUUGAAGGUGGAUUUAAUAGUAAUAAAAUUUAGUUAAAUUUUAUGAUUUUAGCUCUAAAAUAUGUACAUAUCGCCCGUCGCUCUUAUUAUAAGAUAAGAUAAGUCGUAACAUAGUAGAUGUACUGGAAAGUGUAUCUAGAAUGA
This 788-nucleotide non-coding RNA is filed under the name Orthomus sp. BMNH 1042407. Lineage: Eukaryota; Metazoa; Arthropoda; Insecta; Coleoptera; Carabidae. The record is from RNAcentral.